UACGGGAGGCAGCAGUGGGGAAUAUUGCACAAUGGGCGAAACCCUGAUGCAGCAUCGCCGCGUGAGUGAUGACGGUCUUCGGAUUGUAAAGCUCUGUCUUUUGGGACGAUAAUGACGGUACCAAAGGAGGAAGCCACGGCUAACUACGUGCCAGCAGCCGCGGUCAUACGUAGGUGGCAAGCGUUGUCCGGAUUUACUGGGCGUAAAGGAUGUGUAGGCGGAUACUUAAGUGAGAUGUGAAAGCCCCGGGCUCAACCUGGGGACUGCAUUUCAAACUGGGUGUCUAGAGUGCAGGAGAGGAAAGCGGAAUUCCUAGUGUAGCGGUGAAAUGCGUAGAGAUUAGGAAGAACAUCAGUGGCGAAGGCGGCUUUCUGGACUGUAACAGACGCUAAGGCAUGAAAG
Molecule: ribosomal RNA, 402 nt
Filed under: uncultured bacterium
Lineage: Bacteria
Description: bacterial SSU rRNA
Rfam family: Bacterial small subunit ribosomal RNA
Source: RNAcentral